Glycine soja is the source of this 627-nucleotide long non-coding RNA. RefSeq lists it as uncharacterized. Lineage: Eukaryota; Viridiplantae; Streptophyta; Magnoliopsida; Fabales; Fabaceae. The record is from RefSeq and is a predicted model, not a curated record. The transcript has 2 exons.
CUAUUUUAUAAAACAUUGUAAUGGUGGGAUUGUUCCUGAUGAGGACUGGCAUUUAUAAGUCAAUAGUUGUGGCCUUUUGCUCCAACACUAAAAAAUUAGACAACGUAGUAGACUCAAUUCCCCUUCCUCUCUGUUUUUUUCUCUGUUUCUUCAGUGGUCAUGGUUAUAACCACAAAGCACAAUACUCUCCAUCAAAAGAACCACAAGAACACACCCACAAAACAUACACUUGAAAGAAGAAAUCCUUGAGCACGUACCAUCUUGUAGAUGCAGUGAUAGGGAAGCGUGAUAGCAUAGCAGACACGGUGUAUUCAGAAGAAAUAAAUGCGAAUCAAGACAUAGCAACUACAGGGGUGUCUACAGCAAAGAAGGGUGCAAAUUAAUCAGAAAAGGAGGUGCAAGCAGCAGUCAAUACCAAAAGAAAGAUGUCAAGCCUGCUUACCUUAAGAACUACGUGUGAUCCUGAGGAAUGAUGCUGAAUGAUCUGUGCUGCCAGCAAGGAAGACAAGAAUAACGAUUUCUGAUUUCCUCUAGCACAAAAGGACAAAAUCUAUUAUGUAGAAAUCAGUAUAAAUACAAUAGCAUGUAAUAAGCAGCAUGAUAUGAAUGAAAUUAGCAAAUUACUCU